This 497-nucleotide ribosomal RNA is filed under the name uncultured bacterium. RNAcentral's name for it is "partial 16S ribosomal RNA". It matches the Rfam family "Bacterial small subunit ribosomal RNA", at positions 28 to 507 of the family's 1533-position model. The record is from RNAcentral.
GAUGAACGCUGGCGGCGUGCCUAAUACAUGCAAGUCGAGCGAACAGACGAGGAGCUUGCUCCUCUGACGUUAGCGGCGGACGGGUGAGUAACACGUGGAUAACCUACCUAUAAGACUGGGAUAACUUCGGGAAACCGGAGCUAAUACCGGAUAAUAUAUUGAACCGCAUGGUUCAAUAGUGAAAGACGGUUUUGCUGUCACUUAUAGAUGGAUCCGCGCCGCAUUAGCUAGUUGGUAAGGUAACGGCUUACCAAGGCAACGAUGCGUAGCCGACCUGAGAGGGUGAUCGCACACACUGGAAGUGAGACACGGUCCAGACUCCUGCGGGAGGCAGCAGUAGGGAAUCUUACGCGAUGGAGGAAAGCCUGACGGAGCAACACCGCGUGAGGGAUGAAGGUGUUCGGAUCGUAAAACUCUGUUAUUAGGGAAGAACAAAUGUGUAAGUAACUAUGCACGUCUUGACGGUACCUAGUCAGAAAGCCACGGCUAACUACGUG